GCAUGAGGAAUUGUUCAUGCUCUGUAUAUGCAAGCAUAGAUAUUGCUGGGAAGGAGACUGGCUGUUUGACAUGGUAUGGCAAAUUAAUGGACACUGUACAUAAUAGGGAAGAGGGAUAUGAUAUUUAUGUUCGUGUUGAUGCAGUCGAAUUAGCUGAAAUUGCCGAAAAAUGGAAUGGUUUUCUUAAAAGGAAGGAUAUGUUAGCCAUUUUAGUAAUAUCUGUUGUUUCAGCUUGGUUUGUCAUCAUCUUAUUUACAUAUUUGUGGCUCAAGAAGAAGAAGAAAAGGGUGAGGAACAAAUGGAACAAAAGAUGGCUUGAUACAAUUGGCUGCGCAUACUACAACGAAACUUCAGUGGAAAAUCAAGUCGAAGGUAGCAUGAGUCAUCCAGAGAUUGCUUUUUUCAAUCUGAGCACUAUACUUGCUGCAACUAACAGUUUCUCUCCAGCUAACAAACUAGGGCAAGGUGGUUUUGGUGUGGUUUAUAAGGGUAAAUUGUCUAAUGGAAAGGAAGUUGCUGUGAAAAGACUUUUGAAAGAUUCAGGGCAAGGAAUAGAUGAAUUUAAAAAUGAAGUUUUGUUGAUUGCAAAACUUCAACAUUAGAAUCUGGUGAAACUCAUAGGGUGCUGCAUUCAGGGAGAGGAACCGAUGCUAGUUUAUGAAUACAUGCCAAACAAAAGUUUGGACUCCUUUCUUUUUGGUAAGUCCUGUGUAUGUCCAACUUUAUUUAGCAUUGUAUUCCAGAAGUUGUCUGAUUCCAUCUGUUUCAACAAUAUGAUUGAUGGACAUAAAAUGCAUAAAUUGGCACUGAUUCAAAUGGGAAUCUUUUGUUAGAUGAAACAAGAAGGUCAAUCUUGGAUUGGA
RNAcentral lists this unclassified non-coding RNA (863 nucleotides) under Hevea brasiliensis (rubber tree). Lineage: Eukaryota; Viridiplantae; Streptophyta; Magnoliopsida; Malpighiales; Euphorbiaceae. The record is from RNAcentral.